This 65-nucleotide transfer RNA is filed under the name Dipodomys ordii (Ord's kangaroo rat). It matches the Rfam family "tRNA". Rfam says of the family: Transfer RNA (tRNA) molecules are approximately 80 nucleotides in length. Lineage: Eukaryota; Metazoa; Chordata; Mammalia; Rodentia; Heteromyidae. The record is from Rfam by way of RNAcentral.
GGUGGCUCAAUGGUAGAGCACUUGCCUUGCAUGCCUGAGGCCCUGGGUUUGAUUCCCCAGCACCA